Molecule: ribosomal RNA, 212 nt
Filed under: uncultured bacterium
Lineage: Bacteria
Description: partial 16S ribosomal RNA
Rfam family: Bacterial small subunit ribosomal RNA
Source: RNAcentral
UAAGUCAGAGGUGAAAGUCUAUAGCUCAACUAUAGAAUUGCCUUUGAUACUGUUUGACUAGAAUGUAGUUGAAGUAGGCGGAAUGUGUAGUGUAGCGGUGAAAUGCUUAGAUAUUACACAGAACACCAAUUGCGAAGGCAGCUUACUAAGCUACUAUUGACGCUCAUCGGACGAAAGCGUGGGGAGCGAACAGGAUUAGAUACCCUCGGUAG